GCUUGUAGUUUGUUAAGUAUACACACGCAAGUAAUCACAUUUACGGUGACCGAGUGCACGCACUAUUAUCGUUCGUACCCGGCCCGGACAACAGUAAUAAUAGUUAUGCUCGUUGUUCUGGUUAGAAACUACUAAAACCUGUUUAAUUUUGAAAAAGUUUUUCGAUUUCGGGUGAAUACAUUCAUAAGAAAUUGUUUUAUUUUAUGGACGUACCAUCAAAGGUAUUAAUCCCAACUGUGAAAUGUUUGCUUAAUUUUCAGGUGUUCUUACUGCUGUACUAUCUACGACCAUACUGGGCGGUGUUUACGUGAUAACCGGACUGGCGCUUUCACAGUUUUUACUGUCAGGAGGAAUAUGGCCUGUGGAAGGACAACCAGAGUUCUUAAGGAUCUUUACUCGAUUAAUGCCUAUGCGAAUAAUAGGAAACAUGAUAAACAACAUUGCAUUAAAAGGAUGGUCGCUGAGCCACCUAUCGAUCAUUAUGGAUAUAUCAAUGUCACUUCUUUAUAUUGUAAUAUUAGUAUUGCUUUUAAUUGUUUUAGGAAAAUUUAAAAAACAUUGGUGGAUCAAACAGAAGUGAACAUUGUUCUAUGUAGAUUAUAAAAUCGUUGUAAAUAUAAAUGUUAAUUUGGUACAUAAACCAAUAUAUUAUAAACAGUUAUUACCGAUACUACAUUUCCAAUGUAAUUUUACUUUUUGGUGAAAUAAUUAUUUUAAUCGUGUCUCUAAUUUGGUUUAACUACGGGUGUUGGUAAAAAUGUGAGGAAUUCAUUAAAAACAUUAUAAUGGAAACA
Molecule: long non-coding RNA, 794 nt
Organism: Sipha flava (yellow sugarcane aphid)
Lineage: Eukaryota; Metazoa; Arthropoda; Insecta; Hemiptera; Aphididae
Exons: 2
Source: RefSeq, a predicted model, not a curated record